Molecule: ribosomal RNA, 2990 nt
Filed under: termite gut metagenome
Description: bacterial LSU rRNA
Rfam family: Bacterial large subunit ribosomal RNA
Source: RNAcentral
AGGGCACACGGAGGAUGCCUUGGCAUUUGUCAGCGAAGAAGGACGCGGUAAGCUGCGAAAAGCUUCGGGGAGGCGCAAGCGACCAUUGAUCCGAAGGUAUCCGAAUGGGGCAACCCCUCCGGCGUAGGCCGGAGACCCGCAAGUGCGGGGGCGAAGUCGGCGAAGUGAAACAUCUCAGUAGCCGGAUAUAAAAGAAAUCGAAGAGAUUCUCUGAGUAGUGGUGAGCGAAAGGGGAACAGCCUAAACCGAAUACGUGCAAGCCCGCGAGCGUUGCGUAUGUCGGUGUAAGAGGUUCUUGCAGGGGUGAGUUGCGGAUUACCCGAACAGUUACAAAAGACUAAGCUAGUUGAACGGUAUUGGGAAAGCCGGCCGCAGAAGGUGAGAGCCCUGUAGGCGAAAGCGUAGUCACUGUUUGUGCAAGGUACCUGAGUAGGCCGGAGCACGUGAAAUUCCGGUUGAAUUUGGGCCGCCCAUGGUCUAAGGCUAAACAUGACAAAUGACCGAUAGUGAAGCAGUACCGAGAGGGAAAGGUGAAAAGCACCCCGGGAGGGGAGUGAAAGAGACCUGAACCCGUGUGCCUACAAGCGAUCGGAGCAGGAAGCGUUUUCGGACGCGGAAUGUGACGGUAUGCCUUUUGUAAAAUGAGCCGGCGAGUUAUUGUGUGUAGCGAGGUUAAGGUCUGGUAGGACUGAAGCCGAAGGGAAACCGAGUCUUAAUAGGGCGCUGAGUUUCACACAAUGGACCCGAAGCCCGACGAUCUAUCCAUGGCCAGGUUGAAGCCUCGGUGAAACGAGGUGGAGGACCGAACCGUAGCCUGUUGAAAAAGUCUCGGAUGAGCUGUGGAUAGGAGUGAAAAGCUAAUCGAGUUGGGUGAUAGCUGGUUCUCCCCGAAAUGCAUUUAGGUGCAGCCUCAGAUGUUUAGUUAUGGGGGUAGAGCGCUGAAUGGACGCGGGCGGUAUAGGCCGUACCAAAUCCAAUCAAACUUCGAAUACCAUAACUUAAGAGUUUGGGAGUGAGACUGCGGGAGAGAAGUUUCGUAGUCGAGAGGGAAAGAGCCCAGACCCACGGCUAAGGCCCCAAAGCUAUGCUAAGUGUAACAAGGAUGUGAUGAUGCCCGGACAGCCAGGAGGUUGGCUUAGAAGCAGCCACCCUUUAAAGAGUGCGUAAUAGCUCACUGGUCGAGGAUUGUUGCGCCGAAAAUACCGGGGGCUAAGCAUAGCGCCGAAGCCUGGGGAUUGGAUUGAUAAGAUCCGAAUCGGUAGGGGAGCGUUGCCUGCGGGGAGAAGUCGAACCGGCAAGGUUCGGUGGACUGCAGGGAAGAGAGAAUGCCGGCAUGAGUAACGCAAAGUGUGUGAGAAACACACUCACCGGAAGUCCAAGGAUUCCUGGGGAAGGUUAAUCCGCCCAGGGUAAGGCGGGACCUAAGGCGAGGCCGAGAGGCGUAGCUGAUGGACAACAGGUUGCUAUUCCUGUCCCGCGAGUGGUUCGUUUGUACGAAGGAGUGACGCAGGAAGCUAAGUGAGUCGGGUGAUGGAAGUCCCGGCCUAAGGGAGUAGUCUGGCCGAACAGGGAAAUCCGUUUGGUUAGAGACGAGACCUGAUGGGGAGGUAAGCAGAGAUGCGAGCCGAAGUCAUUGAUGCUACGCUGCCAGGAAAAGCUUCUAAGGAGAGCCAUUUGCGCCCGUACCCGAAACCGACACAGGUGGACUGGCUGAGAAGGCUAAGGUGAGCGGGAGAACUAUCGUUAAGGAACUCUGCAAGUUGACCCCGUAACUUAGGGAGAAGGGGUGCCUUUUUUGGUGAAGGGCUGCGCGCCCGGAGCUGGGAGAGGUCGCAGAAACCAGGCACAGGCGACUGUUUACUAAAAACACAGGACUCUGCGUAAGGCGAAAGCCGAAGUAUAGGGUCUGACACCUGCCCGGUGCUGGAAGGUUAAAUGGAGAGGUUAGUGGGUGGUAACACUUGCGAAGCUUUGGAAGCCCCAGUAAACGGCGGCCGUAACUAUAACGGUCCUAAGGUAGCGAAAUUCCUUGUCGGGUAAGUUCCGACCUGCACGAAUGGUGUAACGAUCUGUGCGCUGUCUCGACGGUAGACCCGGUGAAAUUGUGGUCCUGGUAAAGACGCCAGGUACCCGUGGUGGGACGGAAAGACCCCAUGGAGCUUUACUGUAACUUGGUAUUGGAUUUUGUCAUGUGAUGCACAGGAUAGGUGGGAGGCAUUGAGACACAGAUUUUGGUUUGUGUUGAGCCAACGUUGGGAUACCACCCUUCAUAUGAUGGAGUUCUAACCGCGAGCCGUUGAAACACGGAGCGGGACAUUGCCAGGCGGGCAGUUUGACUGGGGCGGUCGCCUCCCAAAGAGUAACGGAGGCGCGCAAAGGUCACCUCAGGGCGAAUGGAAACCGCCCGUAAGAGCGCAAGCGUAUAAGGUGGCUUGACUGUGAGACCGACGGGUCGAACAGGAACGAAAGUUGGUGCUAGUGAUCCGGUGGUUCCGAAUGGAAGGGCCAUCGCUCAACGGAUAAAAGCUACCCUGGGGAUAACAGGCUGAUCUCGCCCGAGAGUUCCUAUCGACGGCGUGGUUUGGCACCUCGAUGUCGGCUCAUCGCAUCCUGGGGCUGAAGCAGGUCCCAAGGGUUGGUCUGUUCGCCCAUUAAAGCGGUACGUGAGCUGGGUUUAGAACGUCGUAAGACAGUUCGGUCCCUAUCCACCAUGGGCGUAAGGUAUUUGAGGAGAGCUGUUCCUAGUACGAGAGGACCGGAAUGGACGAACCGCUGGUGUACCGGUUGUGGCGCCAGCCGCAAAAGCCGGGUAGCUAUGUUCGGACCGGAUAACCGCUGAAAGCAUCUAAGUGGGAAGCCGCCUCCAAGAUGAGAUACCUUAUUCCUUAAAGGAAGUAAGAUAUCCGGCAGACGACCGGAUAGAUAGGCCGGGUGUGUAAGCAUUGAGAGAUGUUGAGCAGACCGGUACUAAUAAGUCGAGGCUUUUUUCU